UACGUAGGAGACGAGCGUUGUCCGGAGUUACUGGGCGUAAAGGGUGCGCAGGUGGCGGCGCGCGUGGGGGGUGAAAUCGCCCGGCUUAACUGGGCGGGGGCCUUCCAGACGGCGUGGCUUGAGCAGCGGAGGGGGACGUGGAAUUCCUGGUGUAGCGGUGAAAUGCGCAGAUAUCAGGAGGAACACCGGUGGCGAAGGCGGAUCUCUGGGCCUUACCUGACGCUCAGGUGCGAAAGCUAGGGGAGCGAACAGG
This 253-nucleotide ribosomal RNA is filed under the name uncultured bacterium. Its description in RNAcentral is "partial 16S ribosomal RNA". It matches the Rfam family "Bacterial small subunit ribosomal RNA", at positions 524 to 776 of the family's 1533-position model. The record is from RNAcentral.